Long non-coding RNA from Ficedula albicollis (Collared flycatcher), 1956 nucleotides. The record is from Ensembl. NCBI's taxonomy places the organism in Eukaryota, Metazoa, Chordata, Aves, Passeriformes, Muscicapidae.
AUGCGAGUGUGUUUGUGUGUGUCUGUGUGUUUAUGUCUGUGUUUGUGUUUAUGUGUGUGUGUAUGUGUCUGUGUGUGUGUUUAUGUGUGUGUCUGUCUCUGUUUGUGUGUGUGUCUGUGUGUUUAUGUGUGUGUUUGCACACCCCUACAAGCUGUGUGUGUGUGUGUGUGUGUGUGUGUGUGUGUGUGUGUGUGUGUGUGUGUGUGUGUGUGUGUGUGUGUGUGUGUGUGUGUGUGUGUGUGUGUGUGUGUGUGUGUGUGUGUGUGUGUGUGUGUGUGUGUGUGUGUGUGUGUGUGUGUGUGUGUGUGUGUGUGUGUGUGUGUGUGUGUGUGUGUGUGUGUGUGUGUGUGUGUGUGUGUGUGUGUGUGUGUGUGUGUGUGUGUGUGUGUGUGUGUGUGUGUGUGUGUGUGUGUGUGUGUGUGUGUGUGUGUGUGUGUGUGUGUGUGUGUGUGUGUGUGUGUGUGUGUGUGUGUGUGUGUGUGUGUGUGUGUGUGUGUGUGUGUGUGUGUGUGUGUGUGUGUGUGUGUGUGUGUGUGUGUGUGUGUGUGUGUGUGUGUGUGUGUGUGUGUGUGUGUGUGUGUGUGUGUGUGUGUGUGUGUGUGUGUGUGUGUGUGUGUGUGUGUGUGUGUGUGUGUGUGUGUGUGUGUGUGUGUGUGUGUGUGUGUGUGUGUGUGUGUGUGUGUGUGUGUGUGUGUGUGUGUGUGUGUGUGUGUGUGUGUGUGUGUGUGUGUGUGUGUGUGUGUGUGUGUGUGUGUGUGUGUGUGUGUGUGUGUGUGUGUGUGUGUGUGUGUGUGUGUGUGUGUGUGUGUGUGUGUGUGUGUGUGUGUGUGUGUGUGUGUGUGUGUGUGUGUGUGUGUGUGUGUGUGUGUGUGUGUGUGUGUGUGUGUGUGUGUGUGUGUGUGUGUGUGUGUGUGUGUGUGCACAGCUCCAGUGUCACUGCCAGGGGUGUCACAAGGGUGUCUGUGCAUCUGUGCAUGUGUGCAUUUCUGUGUCUGUGUGUGCUUCUCUGUAUGUCUGUGUGUCUGUCUGUGUGUCUGUCCAUGUGUCUCUGUGUGUGUCCGUGUGUCUGUGUGUGUCUAUGUGUGUCCGGGUGUCCACGUGUCCUUCUCUGUGUCUGUGUGUGUCUGUCUGUGUGUCCAUCUGUUUGUGUCUCUGUGUGUCUAUGUGUUUGUCUGUAUGUCUGUGCCUGUCCCUGUCUGUGUGUCUGUGUGUCUGUCCGUCUCUGUCCGUGUCUGUCUCUGUGUCUGUGUGUGUCCAUCUGUGUGUGUCUGUGUGUCCAUGUGUCUGUGUGUCCGUGUCUCUGUCUCUGUCUCUGUCUUUGUGUCCGUGUGUGUCCGUGUGCAUGUGUGUGUCUGUCUCCGUCUGUGUGUCCGUGUGUCUGUGUGUGCUCACACCCCUCCACAGUGUCCGUGUCCCCCCUUCCCGUGUCCCUGCACCUGCCGUUGUCCCAGCUCACCCGGUCCCUGGGCUCCCGGUGCCGUGUCUCCCCCUCCCUCCUCCCCCAGCUGCAGCAGUGGGAUCGAUGGCAGUGCUGGCAGCCCCAGCGGGACCCCACAAGGUGCCAGACACCCACGGGCUCCUCCCUGCCCCUGUCCCCCUGGUCUGGGGGACACCAGUGACAUCCUGACACAGCUCCACACUGGGGCUGAGCUCAGGGUGCAGCUGGGGCAGGGGGUGCUCAAUGGGGAGCCAGGACCCCACUCUGGCCGCUGUCAGGACAUGUCCUUGCCUGUCCCCCAACACCCCAAACAUCUGAUCAGGAGCCACCUUGGAGCUCUUUGGGAUGAGCAUCCUCAAAGGAUGAAUUUUGGGGGUGCCUGGAGGGUAGAGAGGCCCACCAGGAGCACAGGGAGAAGCUCUGCCCAGGCAGGGACACUGGCCAUGGAAAAGCUCAGACUGACAGGCCAAAAUCCCACAAAACUCCCCCAAAACACCUUGAAGAUGUCACUGGUGUGA